RNAcentral lists this ribosomal RNA (132 nucleotides) under uncultured crenarchaeote. RNAcentral describes it as "partial 16S ribosomal RNA". It matches the Rfam family "Archaeal small subunit ribosomal RNA", at positions 322 to 453 of the family's 1478-position model. The record is from RNAcentral. Lineage: Archaea; Thermoproteati; Thermoproteota.
CCUAUGGGGUGCACCAGGCGAGAAAACUUUGCAAUGUGCGAAAGCACGACAAGGUUAAUCCGAGUGAUUUCUGCUAAAGAGAUCUUUUGUUAGUGCCUAGAAACACUAACGAANGAAGGGGUGGGCAAGUAC